UACGGAGGGUGCAAGCGUUAUCCGGAUUCACUGGGUUUAAAGGGUGCGUAGGUGGGCAAGUAAGUCAGUGGUGAAAUCUCCGGGCUUAACCCGGAAACUGCCAUUGAUACUAUUUGUCUUGAAUACUGUGGAGGUCAGCGGAAUAUGUCAUGUAGCGGUGAAAUACGUAGAGAUUGGGAAGAACACCAGUGGCGAAGGCGGCUAUCUGGACGGUUUCUGACACUAAGACGCGAAAGCGUGGGGAGCAAACAGG
RNAcentral lists this ribosomal RNA (253 nucleotides) under uncultured bacterium. RNAcentral's name for it is "partial 16S ribosomal RNA". It matches the Rfam family "Bacterial small subunit ribosomal RNA", at positions 524 to 776 of the family's 1533-position model. The record is from RNAcentral.